Molecule: unclassified non-coding RNA, 229 nt
Filed under: uncultured Inocybe
Lineage: Eukaryota; Fungi; Basidiomycota; Agaricomycetes; Agaricales; Cortinariaceae
Description: sequence contains ITS1
Source: RNAcentral
UUGAAAUAGCAUGACGAGUUGUCGCUGGCCUUUUCUUUGACCGUGCACGCUCUGUCGUCCUUCAUUUCUCCAUCUAUUUGUGCACCUCUUGCGUAGACCUUUUCUGAGGGCUUCCUCGGGUCGUUAGGACUGCUUUGCAAAAAAAAAAUGAAUUUGUGGGCUUUCCUUGUCGCUACCACACAUACACCAGUGUAAUUGUUUAGAAGGAAAUGGAAUUUGAUGCAUAAUA